This 495-nucleotide ribosomal RNA is filed under the name uncultured bacterium. Its description in RNAcentral is "partial 16S ribosomal RNA". It matches the Rfam family "Bacterial small subunit ribosomal RNA", at positions 28 to 505 of the family's 1533-position model. The record is from RNAcentral.
GAUGAACGCUGGCGGCGUGCCUAAUACAUGCAAGUCGAGCGAACGGACGAGAAGCUUGCUUCUCUGAUGUUAGCGGCGGACGGGUGAGUAACACGUGGAUAACCUACCUAUAAGACUGGGAUAACUUCGGGAAACCGUAGCUAAUACCGGAUAAUAUUUUGAACCGCAUGGUUCAAAAGUGAAAGACGGUCUUGCUGUCACUUAUAGAUGGAUCCGCGCUGCAUUAGCUAGUUGGUAAGGUAACGGCUUACCAAGGCAACGAUGCAUAGCCGACCUGAGAGGUGGUCGGCCACACCGGGAACUGGGACCGGGUCCGCCCCCCUAGGGAGGCAAACAGUAGGAAUUUUCCGGAAAGGGACAAAACACUAAGGAACAAACCCGGGGUAGGUAAGAAGGGUUUUGGGUUGGAAAACCUCUUUUAUGAGGAAAAACCAAAUGUGAAAGAAAGUGGGCAAAUUGUGACGGAACAAAAAAAGAAACCCACGGCAAACAAAG